RNAcentral lists this ribosomal RNA (431 nucleotides) under uncultured bacterium. RNAcentral describes it as "partial 16S ribosomal RNA". It matches the Rfam family "Bacterial small subunit ribosomal RNA", at positions 29 to 507 of the family's 1533-position model. The record is from RNAcentral.
AACGAACGCUGGCGGCAGGCCUAACACAUGCCAGUCGAGCGCCCCGCAAGGGGAGCGGCGGACGGGUGAGUACCGCGUGGGAACGUACCCUUUGCUACGGAAUAGCCUCGGGAAACUGGGAGUAAUACCGUAUGUGUCCUUCGGGAGAAAGAUUUAUCGGCAAGGGAUCGGCCCGCGUUGGAUUAGGUAGUUGGUGGGGUAAUGGCCUACCAAGCCGACGAUCCAUAGCUGGUUUGAGAGGAUGAUCAGCCACACUGGGACUGAGACACGGCCCAGACUCCUACGGGAGGCAGCAGUGGGGAAUCUUAGACAAUGGGCGCAAGCCUGAUCUAGCCAUGCCGCGUGAGCGAUGAAGGCCUUAGGGUUGUAAAGCUCUUUCAGGGGGGAAGAUAAUGACUGUACCCCCAGAAGAAGCCCCGGCUAACUCCGUG